This 1505-nucleotide long non-coding RNA is filed under the name Ananas comosus (pineapple). RNAcentral describes it as "long non-coding RNA (ACOM_LNC013947)". Lineage: Eukaryota; Viridiplantae; Streptophyta; Magnoliopsida; Poales; Bromeliaceae. The record is from RNAcentral.
GGGGGAUCGGAGGCGAGGAAGGUGGGGGCGCCGGCGGCGACGCCGCUCUGUCUUCGCUGCUCUCUGGGAAGAGAAAGAAAAAAAAGAACGAGAGAAAAAAGAGAAAAGAAAAAGGUAUAAGGGCACCUCCGCUCCGUCUUCGCCGCUCUCUGGAAAGAAAAAGAAAAAAGAACGAGAGAAAAGAGAAAGAGGAAAGAGAAAAAGGUAUAAGGGUAUUUUGGUCAGUUUGCUGAAAAAGCGGACCGAAUCUGCAAAAGCUAAAAAGAUGGCCCGAUUUUGCAAAAGCCCAAAAUAAGUGGAUUUUUUAUGCAAAUUGGCCAAGAAUUUUCUAUCAAAAUUUCACAUGAUUUGGAUAUUUCUACACCGUUAAACUUGCAAACGGCUAUAUAUAUAUUAUUAUAAUUAAAUCUUAAAUAAAUUUAAGCUGUAAAAUUAAUUUUAUGUUGUCCAUGUGGAAGUUAUAUUAGAUAUUAUAAGAUCUACAGAAUAUUUUACAUAAAUAGAUAAAUUACUGAGUCCGGCUACUAUAUUUUUAUGAGUACGAUCGUCGUCGUACUCAUAAGUUAAUUUUUAUGAUAGAGCUUCCGAAUCAACGAUUCACACAGUUAAACGUUAUCUAGAGCAUUUAAAAUGUCUAAAAAUUAAAUUUUAUAAUUUUUCGAUAUUAUUUACCUUACGAUCAAAAGGUCAUAAAAUUGACAAUUUUUAAUGAUUGGUAUGAAAAAUUUGCUAGUUUAACAAUAUAAAAAAAUCAGAAUCAGUUGAAUUUUUGAUAGAAAAUUUUAUUCAUUACAUAGAUAAAGAUCAAUAACUCCAAUCUUAAAUUGAAGGAUCUGAUUAUCCAUUUUUAAGACGCCGUUCAAUUUUGACCGUUCAUUUUAUACCCGCUUGAUGAACUUUAUUAUGAUUUCAAAAAAUUACAAAAUUUAUUUUUUAGAAGUUUCAAAUACUCUACAUCAUAUUUAACGGAGUGGAUCGUCGAUUCGGAAGCUCCAUCAUUGAAAACAACUUAUGAGUACGAAGGGCGCUUUACUCAUAAAUUAUUUAGUGUGUUUCUCUAAAUUUUGUCGCGACUGAAUGUUUUGCUUAAACAAAAUAAUUGAUUUAUUAUGUUGCCAUGUCUAAAUAUUAUUAGGGACUAUUUGACUGAUCAUAAAUGUAAUGUGGAGUAUAUAUAUAUAUAUAUUUAAAAAUACAAUAGUUACAACGGCAUGCAUCAUAUUUGAUUGGAUAUAAUAAAAAGUGUCGGACUAUAAAUAAUUUGUUCGAUUGCAUGCAAUUAAAAAGUCUAUUUUUAAAAUUUUAUCACUUUAUAUAUAAUGGCGAUGAGAAAAAAAAAUUAUUUAUAAAGUGAUUAGGAAGACAAGCUUAUCUAAGCUUAUCUAUUUAAAAUUAAUUUAUUAAACUGCUACAGUUGAAACUACAAUCAAUUUGAGCGUACUUUCAACUACUGCAGUUAGAUCAUUUUAUGUAAUUCUGACCGUAACAGAUGGAUUCAAAUAAGU